Acanthaster planci (crown-of-thorns starfish) is the source of this 391-nucleotide long non-coding RNA. The record is from RefSeq and is a predicted model, not a curated record. NCBI's taxonomy places the organism in Eukaryota, Metazoa, Echinodermata, Asteroidea, Valvatida, Acanthasteridae.
AAAGCCGGGUAGAGUGUCUCAGACAGUGUCGUGUGACGGCUUUUAUUCGAUCUCGAAUACGAGCUAUUGUCCUUUCGUCUGAUACUACCUAUGUAGAUCUCCCCAGACCUACCUGCAAGACACCUGUCUGGCGACGAUUCACCGUCCGAUUUCAUCGUGCCUGGUGAAUGUAUGACGACUGAAAACUUCAGUUGAACUGUCAGGAGUAGUACGUCUUUGGGCACUUUUCAUUCCUGAAGAGAGAUAGCUUCUCACUGGAUUUCAGCAUUCAGGGAAAUUUCAGGCUAUUCGCAGCACCUACAGACAGAGGCAACUUAACCCCAAGCGGACCAUCUCGUGAAGAAACUUCUCAGUUAUCCCCAGAAGAACGUGACAGAAGAUUUAAAAAAUG